AGGUGUUAUUGCUCUUUGAGAAUUUUUCUAGCAGGGUCAGGCACGAUGGUACAUUUCUGUAACCCAA
Molecule: small nuclear RNA, 67 nt
Organism: Callithrix jacchus (white-tufted-ear marmoset)
Lineage: Eukaryota; Metazoa; Chordata; Mammalia; Primates; Cebidae
Gene: U7
Rfam family: U7 small nuclear RNA
About the family: Animal histone pre-mRNAs are spliced by a different mechanism than nuclear pre-mRNAs and self-splicing introns. This processing involves the U7 snRNP, which contains only one RNA species: U7.
Source: Ensembl